UACGUAGGGACCAAGCGUUGUUCGGAUUUACUGGGCGUAAAGGGCGCGUAGGCGGCAAUUCAAGUCAGCUGUGAAAUCUCCGGGCUCAACUCGGAACGGUCAGCUGAUACUGCUUUGCUAGAGUGCAGAAAGGGCAAUCGGAAUUCUUGGUGUAGCGGUGAAAUGCGUAGAUAUCAAGAGGAACACCUGAGGCGAAGGCGGGUUGCUAGGCUGACACUGACGCCGAGGCGCGAAAGCUAGGGUAGCAAACGGG
RNAcentral lists this ribosomal RNA (253 nucleotides) under uncultured bacterium. Its description in RNAcentral is "partial 16S ribosomal RNA". It matches the Rfam family "Bacterial small subunit ribosomal RNA", at positions 524 to 776 of the family's 1533-position model. The record is from RNAcentral.